This 253-nucleotide ribosomal RNA is filed under the name uncultured bacterium. RNAcentral's name for it is "partial 16S ribosomal RNA". It matches the Rfam family "Bacterial small subunit ribosomal RNA", at positions 524 to 776 of the family's 1533-position model. The record is from RNAcentral.
UACGUACGAGGCGAGCGUUAUCCGGAAUUACUGGGCGUAAAGCGUGCGCAGGCGGUUUUGUAAGUCUGUCGUGAAAUCCCCGGGCUCAACCUGGGAAUUGCGAUGGAGACUGCAAGGCUGGAGUCUGGCAGAGGGGGGUAGAAUUCCACGUGUAGCAGUGAAAUGCGUAGAGAUGUGGAGGAACACCGAUGGCGAAGGCAGCCCCCUGGGUCAAGACUGACGCUCAUGCACGAAAGCGUGGGGAGCAAACAGG